AGAGUUUGAUCCUGGCUCAGGAUGAACGCUGGCGGCGUGCCUAAUACAUGCAAGUCGAGCGAACGGACGAGAAGCUUGCUUCUCUGAUGUUAGCGGCGGACGGGUGAGUAACACGUGGAUAACCUACCUAUAAGACUGGGAUAACUUCGGGAAACCGGAGCUAAUACCGGAUAAUAUUUUGAACCGCAUGGUUCAAAAGUGAAAGACGGUCUUGCUGUCACUUAUAGAUGGAUCCGCGCUGCAUUAGCUAGUUGGUAAGGUAACGGCUUACCAAGGCAACGAUGCAUAGCCGACCUGAGAGGGUGAUCGGCCACACUGGAACUGAGACACGGUCCAGACUCCUACGGGAGGCAGCAGUAGGGAAUCUUCCGCAAUGGGCGAAAGCCUGACGGAGCAACGCCGCGUGAGUGAUGAAGGUCUUCGGAUCGUAAAACUCUGUUAUUAGGGAAGAACAUAUGUGUAAGUAACUGUGCACAUCUUGACGGUACCUAAUCAGAAAGCCACGGCUAACUACGUGCCAGCAGCCGCGGUAAUACGUAGGUGGCAAGCGUUAUCCGGAAUUAUUGGGCGUAAAGCGCGCGUAGGCGGUUUUUUAAGUCUGAUGUGAAAGCCCACGGCUCAACCGUGGAGGGUCAUUGGAAACUGGAAAACUUGAGUGCAGAAGAGGAAAGUGGAAUUCCAUGUGUAGCGGUGAAAUGCGCAGAGAUAUGGAGGAACACCAGUGGCGAAGGCGACUUUCUGGUCUGUAACUGACGCUGAUGUGCGAAAGCGUGGGGAUCAAACAGGAUUAGAUACCCUGGUAGUCCACGCCGUAAACGAUGAGUGCUAAGUGUUAGGGGGUUUCCGCCCCUUAGUGCUGCAGCUAACGCAUUAAGCACUCCGCCUGGGGAGUACGACCGCAAGGUUGAAACUCAAAGGAAUUGACGGGGACCCGCACAAGCGGUGGAGCAUGUGGUUUAAUUCGAAGCAACGCGAAGAACCUUACCAAAUCUUGACAUCCUUUGACAACUCUAGAGAUAGAGCCUUCCCCUUCGGGGGACAAAGUGACAGGUGGUGCAUGGUUGUCGUCAGCUCGUGUCGUGAGAUGUUGGGUUAAGUCCCGCAACGAGCGCAACCCUUAAGCUUAGUUGCCAUCAUUAAGUUGGGCACUCUAAGUUGACUGCCGGUGACAAACCGGAGGAAGGUGGGGAUGACGUCAAAUCAUCAUGCCCCUUAUGAUUUGGGCUACACACGUGCUACAAUGGACAAUACAAAGGGCAGCGAAACCGCGAGGUCAAGCAAAUCCCAUAAAGUUGUUCUCAGUUCGGAUUGUAGUCUGCAACUCGACUACAUGAAGCUGGAAUCGCUAGUAAUCGUAGAUCAGCAUGCUACGGUGAAUACGUUCCCGGGUCUUGUACACACCGCCCGUCACACCACGAGAGUUUGUAACACCCGAAGCCG
Molecule: ribosomal RNA, 1440 nt
Filed under: Staphylococcus aureus M0966
Lineage: Bacteria; Bacillati; Bacillota; Bacilli; Caryophanales; Staphylococcaceae
Description: bacterial SSU rRNA
Rfam family: Bacterial small subunit ribosomal RNA
Source: RNAcentral